AAAAAUUCCAAAGUCAAAGUGUGCAUCUACACAUUCAAAUUAUCAUAUUUGUUAAGUUUCAUUAAGUUUGGAGCAUUUUGAAGUUUUUGACAUUUUUUGCUGUUUCCAUGGUACGGCGGCCAUUUUGAAAAUUCCAACUUCAAAUGUCAACUUUGCUUAUGCCAGUGACCAUUCCUGUAAAGUUUCAUCCAGUUUACAGCAUUUUUAUUUUUUUUGAAAUUUUUGACCUUUUUGCAUUGUUUCCAUGGUAACAACAGAUAUUUUGGAAAUUCCAACGCCAAAUUCCACAUCUUCCAAUGUUGCUCAUCGUUACUGUGAAGUUUCAUGAAGUUUGGAGCAUUUUGAUAUUUUUGAAAUUUUUGGUAUAGUUUCCAUGGCAACAUAGUAGUUCCAAUGAGUGCCAAAAUCAUCCAACACCUGUAUAUGGCCGGCACCUACAUUGUAUCAAAAUAUAAUGGUUCUGAGUUUAAGCAUAUCAAAACAGUUCACCAAAACAAAAAACAGGAUUUUUUCACAUUUGUUUCGUUUCCAUGGCAACGGCAGCCAUCUUGAUGGUGCCAUACCCCACUGCACUAUAGAAUGUGGUGGUCUACAUUAUGGUAUAGUUCCAUCAAUAUUGUUCAAGCCAAUUCCGAGAAAUAGAAUGGACAAAAAGUGUGGAAGAAUAAAAAUAAUAAUAAUAAUAACUAGAUUUGCCAUUGCAAGCAAUAGCGGAUGGCACCCUUCCCACAUUGCCAGGCGAGCGGCAGCAAUCUAGAAAAUUCCAAAGUCAAAGUGUGCAUCUACACAUUCAAAUUAUCAUAUUUGUUAAGUUUCAUUAAGUUUGGAGCAUUUUGAAGUUUUUGACAUUUUUGCUGUUUCCAUGGUUACGGCGGCCAUUUUGAAAAUUCCAACUUCAAAUGUCAACUUUGCUUAUGCCAGUGACCAUUCCUGUAAAGUUUCAUCCAGUUUACAGCAUUUUUAUUUUUUUUUGAAAUUUUUGACCUUUUUGCAUUGUUUCCAUGGUAACAACAGAUAUUUUGGAAAUUCCAACGCCAAAUUCCACAUCUUCCAAUGUUGCUCAUCGUUACUGUGAAGUUUCAUGAAGUUUGGAGCAUUUUGAUAUUUUUGAAAUUUUUGGUAUAGUUUCCAUGGCAACAUAGUAGUUCCAAUGAGUGCCAAAAUCAUCCAACACCUGUAUAUGGCCGGCACCUACAUUGUAUCAAAAUAUAAUGGUUCUGAGUUUAAGCAUAUCAAAACAGUUCACCAAAAAAAAAAACAGGAUUUUUUCACAUUUGUUUCGUUUCCAUGGCAACGGCAGCCAUCUUGAUGGUGCCAUACCCCACUGCACUAUAGAAUGUGGUGGUCUACAUUAUGGUAUAGUUCCAUCAAUAUUGUUCAAGCCAAUUCCGAGAAAUAGAAUGGACAAAAAAGUGUGGAAGAAUAAAAAUAAUAACUAGAUUUGCCAUUGCAAGCAAUAGCGGAUGGCACCCUUUCCCUAUUGCCAGGCCAGCGGCAGCCAUUUAGAAAUUUUUGCUGUUUCCAUGGCAACGGCGGCCAUUUUGAAAAUUCCAAACUCAAAAGUUAAGUCUACAUAAGCUAGGCAAAAUUUGUUAUAAGUUUCAUUAAAUUUAAAGCAUUUUGAAGUUUUUCAUAAUUUUGCUGUUCCCAUGGUAACGGCGGCCAUUUUGAAUAUUCCAAAGUCAAAUCCCCGCUGCAAUUUUUUCCCUCCAUAAUCAUAUACCAUCAUAUACCAUUUAAUGUCUCUAGAAUAAAUUUAACAUUGAUGUUCUGGAAUGUUCUGUGAAAAUUCAAAGUUUUGACCUUUUUGCAUUGUUUCCAUGGUAACAACAGAUAUUUUGGAAAAUUCCAACGCCAAAUUCCACAUCUUCCAAUGUUGCUCAUCGUUACUGUGAAGUUUCAUUAAGUUUAGAACAUUUUGAGAUUUUUGAAAUUUUUGGAGUAGUUUCCAUGGCAACAUAGUAGUUCCAAUGAGUGCCAAAAUCAUCCAACACCUGUAUAUAGUGGGCACCUACAUUGUAUCAAAAUAUAAUGAUUCUGAGUUCAAGCAUAUGCGAACAGUUCACCAAAACAAAACACUAGAUUUUUUCACAUUUGUUUCGUUUCCAUGGCAACGGCAGCCAUCUUGAUGGUGCCAUACCCCACUGCACUAUAGAAUGUGGUGGUCAACAUUAUGGUAUAGUUCCAUCAAUAUUGUUCAAGCCAAUUCUGAGAAAUAGAAUGGACAAAAAAGUGUGGAAGAAUAAAUAUAAUAAUAAGAAUAAUAAGAAAAAAAGAAACGAACAAUAACAAUAUGUCACCCCAACUCCGUUGAGGGUGCCAUAAUAAUAAUAAUAAUAAUAAUAAGAAAAAAAGAAACGAACAAUAACAAUAUGUCACCCCAACUCCGUUGAGGGUGCCAUAACUAGAUUUGCCAUUGCAAGCAAUAGCGGAUGGCACCCUUCCCACAUUGCCACUAAACUGCAGGCAGUUUGAAAAUUCCAAAGUUAAAGACCGCAUCUACAGAUGUUUAAUAACAUUGUUGUUAAGUUUCCUCAAUUUUGGAGCAUUUUGAAGAUUUUGAAAUUUUUGUUGUUUCCAUGGCAAC
RNAcentral lists this long non-coding RNA (2587 nucleotides) under Mytilus galloprovincialis (Mediterranean mussel). Lineage: Eukaryota; Metazoa; Mollusca; Bivalvia; Mytilida; Mytilidae. The record is from RNAcentral.